RNAcentral lists this ribosomal RNA (477 nucleotides) under uncultured bacterium. Its description in RNAcentral is "bacterial SSU rRNA". It matches the Rfam family "Bacterial small subunit ribosomal RNA", at positions 28 to 501 of the family's 1533-position model. The record is from RNAcentral.
GAUGAACGCUAGCGGCAGGCUUAACACAUGCAAGUCGAGGGGCAGCACGGGUAGCAAUACCUGGUGGCGACCGGCGCAAGGGUGCGUAACGCGUGAGCAACAUGCCCUAUACAGGGGGAUAAUCCAGGGAAACUUGGUCUAAUAUCCCAUAGUAUUUAGAGGAGGCAUCUUCUAUAAAUUAAAGCUUCGGUGGUAUAGGAUUGGCUCGCGUGACAUUAGCUAGAUGGUGAGGUAACGGCUCACCAUGGCAAUGAUGUCUAGGGGUUCUGAGAGGAAGGCCCCCCACACUGGAACUGAGACACGGUCCAGACUCCUACGGGAGGCAGCAGUGAGGAAUAUUGGACAAUGGUCGGAAGACUGAUCCAGCCAUGCCGCGUGAAGGUUACGGUCCUAUGGAUUUUAAACUUCUUUUGUAUGGAAGCAAUAAGGUGCACGCGUGCAUCGAUGAGAGUACCAUACGAAUAAGCAUCGGCUAAC